UACGUAGGGUGCAAGCGUUGUCCGGAAUUAUUGGGCGUAAAGAGCUCGUAGGCGGUCUGUCGCGUCUGCUGUGAAAACUCAGGGCUUAACCCUGAGCUUGCAGUGGGUACGGGCAGACUAGAGUGCGGUAGGGGAGACUGGAAUUCCUGGUGUAGCGGUGAAAUGCGCAGAUAUCAGGAGGAACACCGGUGGCGAAGGCGGGUCUCUGAGCAGUAACUGACGCUGAGGAGCGAAAGCGUGGGGAGCGAACAGG
This 253-nucleotide ribosomal RNA is filed under the name uncultured bacterium. RNAcentral's name for it is "partial 16S ribosomal RNA". It matches the Rfam family "Bacterial small subunit ribosomal RNA", at positions 524 to 776 of the family's 1533-position model. The record is from RNAcentral.